AACGAACGCUGGCGGCAGGCCUAACACAUGCAAGUCGAGCGAGGACUUCGGUUCUAGCGGCGGACGGGUGAGUAACGCGUGGGAAUGUGCCCUUCUCUACGGAAUAGCCCUGGGAAACUGGGAGUAAUACCGUAUACGCCCUAUUGGGGAAAGAUUUAUCGGAGAAGGAUCAGCCCGCGUUGGAUUAGGUAGUUGGUGGGGUAAUGGCCUACCAAGCCGACGAUCCAUAGCUGGUUUGAGAGGAUGAUCAGCCACACUGGGACGGAGACACGGCCCAGACUCCUACGGGAGGCAGCAGUGGGGAAUCUUAGACAAUGGGGGCAACCCUGAUCUAGCCAUGCCGCGUGAGUGAUGAAGGCCUUAGGGUUGUAAAGCUCUUUCAGCUGGGAAGAUAAUGACGGUACCAGCAGAAGAAGCCCCGGCUAACUCCAUG
RNAcentral lists this ribosomal RNA (433 nucleotides) under uncultured bacterium. RNAcentral describes it as "partial 16S ribosomal RNA". It matches the Rfam family "Bacterial small subunit ribosomal RNA", at positions 29 to 507 of the family's 1533-position model. The record is from RNAcentral.